This 669-nucleotide ribosomal RNA is filed under the name uncultured archaeon. Its description in RNAcentral is "bacterial SSU rRNA". It matches the Rfam family "Archaeal small subunit ribosomal RNA", at positions 316 to 989 of the family's 1478-position model. The record is from RNAcentral.
CGAUUCCCUACGGGGUGCAGCAGGCGCGCAAACUUUACAAUGCGAGCAAUCGUGAUAAGGAAACCCUGAGUACCUGUCGAUGCAGGCUGUUCAUAUAUCUAAAUCAUAUGUGAAGAAAGGGCAGGGCAAGACCGGUGCCAGCCGCCGCGGUAAUACCGGCUGCUCGAGUGAUGGCCACUAUUACUGGGUUUAAAGCGUCCGUAGCUUGACUGUUAGGUCUCUUGGGAAAUCUUCACGCUCAACGUGAAGGCGUCUAAGAGAUACCGGCAGUCUUGGAACUGGGAGAGGUAAACCGUACUUCGGGGGUAGGAGUGAAAUCUUGUAAUCCUCGAGGGACGACCUAUGGCGAAGGCAGUUUACCAGAACAGCUUCGACAGUGAGGGACGAAAGCUGGGGGAGCAAACGGGAUUAGAUACCCCGGUAGUCCCAGCCGUAAACAAUGUGCGUUAGGUGUGUCGGUAUCCACGUGUUACUGAUGCGCCGAAGAGAAAUCGUGAAACGCACCACCUGGGAAGUACGGUCGCAAGGCUGAAACUUAAAGGAAUUGGCGGGGGAGCACCACAACAGGUGGAGCCUGCGGUUUAAUUGGAUUCAACGCCGGACAUCUCACCGGAUAAGACAGCUGAAUGAUUGUCAAUCUGAAGGUUUUACAUGACUAGCUGAGAAGAA